UACGUAUGGGGCGAGCGUUGUUCGGAGUUAUUGGGCGUAAAGGGCGUGUAGGCGGCUCGAGAAGUCUGGUGUGAAAUCGCAGGGCUCAACCCUGCGGGUGCGCUGGAAACUGACGGGCUUGAGUCCCGGGGGGGAAGCUGGAAUUCCUGGUGUAGGAGUGAAAUCUGUAGAGAUCAGGAAGAACACCGGUGGCGAAGGCGAGCUUCUAUUCGAGGACUGACGCUGAGGCGCGAAAGCGUGGGGAGCAAACAGG
Molecule: ribosomal RNA, 253 nt
Filed under: uncultured bacterium
Lineage: Bacteria
Description: partial 16S ribosomal RNA
Rfam family: Bacterial small subunit ribosomal RNA
Source: RNAcentral